RNAcentral lists this long non-coding RNA (457 nucleotides) under Amphimedon queenslandica. RNAcentral describes it as "uncharacterized LOC109581886". The record is from RNAcentral. Lineage: Eukaryota; Metazoa; Porifera; Demospongiae; Haplosclerida; Niphatidae.
AUAGACAGUUAAUGUUAGCAGCAGGUGAUAGUGCUGGUACAUUACACAUAUUAGAAAUACCAUGGAGUCUAAGUCAUGCAUCAAGCAAUGAAUUACUAAUAAUGGAGUCAUUUUUUGAUUGAAAGGUUAAGAGGUUGGAUUUUGUUAGUGAGAGAAACAGAAUGAGAGAAAUAGAAAAGAAAGCACUUGAUGAGAAGAAAGCUUCAGCUCAUGAUGAUGAAGAAGAAGAAAAGAAGAACGAACUUCAGAAAGAUGAUGAAGAAAAAUAUGAACUGGAGUAUAGAGAUUAUCUAAAGUUGGAACAAUCAUUAUUGAUUGAACUAGGACUGAGACAACCAGCAGAUGAAAACUGAGAGAGAGAGUGUGUGUGUUAUUGAGUAAGAGAGAGAUUGAUAGUCUAAUGAGUUUGAUUUCAUGUCAGUAUAUUAUUGUUAAAAUGCCCACACUAGAUAGGUCA